RNAcentral lists this unclassified non-coding RNA (264 nucleotides) under Basidiomycota sp. Its description in RNAcentral is "partial contains small subunit ribosomal RNA, internal transcribed spacer 1, and 5.8S ribosomal RNA". The stretch from base 1 to 47 matches the Rfam family "Eukaryotic small subunit ribosomal RNA", at positions 1785 to 1831 of the family's 1831-position model. The record is from RNAcentral. Lineage: Eukaryota; Fungi; Basidiomycota.
AAAGUCGUAACAAGGUUUCCGUAGGUGAACCUGCGGAAGGAUCAUUACCGAACAACCUGCACCUCACCGCUGUGAGUGGGUGCUCAUUGGUGCCUCCUGAUCUUGAUCUUGGUGCUCUUCACUCCGCACCACAAGUGGUGGACCUUGCGUGAGUUUGGGGGGUGCCCUGUUCAAGAUGUCCUAUGCUAACACACAAACAUGUCAUUGUACGAUGUUGAACUUGAACAUAUAAUAUAACUUUCAACAACGGAUCUCUUGGCUCUC